RNAcentral lists this ribosomal RNA (1088 nucleotides) under Amphiascoides sp. Driefontein B. RNAcentral's name for it is "bacterial SSU rRNA". It matches the Rfam family "Eukaryotic small subunit ribosomal RNA", at positions 677 to 1797 of the family's 1831-position model. Lineage: Eukaryota; Metazoa; Arthropoda; Copepoda; Harpacticoida; Miraciidae. The record is from RNAcentral.
CUUUUCGGGCCCGUACCAAAUUUUUGGGCGGGAGGUCGAGGGGUUGCUCUCAUCGAAGUGUCCUGUCCGGCGCCGCCAGGUUUCUUUGAAAAAAUUAGAGUGCUCAGAGCAGGCUGACACGCCCGUAUAGUCGUGCAUGGAAUAAUGGGAAUAGGACGUCGUUUCUAUUUGUKGGUUCUUCGGAAAUCGACGUAAUGAUGACAGGGACAGCUCGGGGGCAUUGGUAUUCAGACGACAGAGGUGAAAUUCUUGGACCGUCUGANGACCGACUACUGCGAAAGCAUUUGCCAAGGAUGUUUUCAUUAAUCAAGAACGAAAGUUAGAGGUUCGAAGGCGAUCAGAUACCGCCCUAGUUCUAACCAUAAACGAUGCCAGCUAGCGAUCCGCGGACGUUUUCUCUGUAGGCUCCGCGGGCAGCUUCCGGGAAACCAAAGCCUUUGGGUUCCGGGGGGAGUAUGGUUGCAAAGCUGAAACUUAAAGCAAUUGACGGAAGGGCACCACCAGGAGUGGAGCCUGCGGCUUAAUUUGACUCAACACGGGAAAUCUCACCAGGCCCGGACACUGGAAGGAUUGACAGAUUGAGAGCUCUUUCUCGAUUCGGUGGGUGGUGGUGCAUGGCCGUUCUUAGUUGGUGGAGUGAUUUGUCUGGUUAAUUCCGAUAACGAACGAGACUCCGUCCUGCUAACUAGUCAGCCCGGUUUCAUACCCGGGCUGAGUUCUUCUUAGAGGGACUGGCGGCGUCUAGCCGCACGAGAUGGAGCAAUAACAGGUCUGUGAUGCCCUUAGAUGUUCUGGGCCGCACGCGCGCUACACUGAAGGGACCAGCGUGUCCUCCCUUCCGGAGACGGACGGGUAACCCGCUGAGCCCCCUUCGUGGUAGGGAUCGGGGCUUGCAAUUGUUCCCCGUGAACCAGGAAUUCCCAGUAAGCGCGAGUCAUAAGCUCGCGUUGAUUACGUCCCUGCCCUUUGUACACACCGCCCGUCGCUACUACCGAUUGAACGUUUUAGUGAGGUAUUUGGAUCGGACCGUUCCGGRUUCGCGCCCGGGGUUUGUGUCUGAGAAGACUCCCAAACUUGAGCCGUUUAGA